ACGGCUCACCAAGGUCGCANCCGNACGNGGUACCGUCNUGCAGAGGGUGACCGUGCCACACUGGGACUGAGACACGGCCCAGACUCCUCCGGGCAGGCAGCAGUGGGGAAUAUUGCACAAUGGGCGAAAGCCUGAUGCAGCGACGCCGCGUGCGGGAUGACGGCCUUCGGGUUGUAAACCGCUUUUGACAGGGACGAAGCGCAAGUGACUGUACCUGUAGAAUAAGGACCGGCCAACUACGUGCCAGCAGCCGCGGUAAUACGUAGGGUCCGAGCGUUGUCCGGAAUUACUGGGCGUAAAGAGCUUGUAGGCGGUUCGUCGCGUCGUUUGUGAAAACUUGGGGCUCAACCUUAAGCUUGCAGGCGAUACGGGCGGACUAGAGUACUUCAGGGGAGACUGGAAUUCCUGGUGUAGCGGUGAAAUGCGCAGAUAUCAGGAGGAACACCGGUGGCGAAGGCGGGUCUCAUGUGGAAGUAACUGACGCUGAGAAGCGCCACCACCGCCUGGGUAUCAAACAGGAUUAGAUACCCUGUUAGUUCACUGCCGUAAACGGUGGGUACNUCGGUGUGGGGUCUCCCUUCGACAGAGACUCCGUGCCGUAGCUANACGCAUUAAGUACCCCGCCUGGAAGAGGAGAUAUCG
This 642-nucleotide ribosomal RNA is filed under the name Nocardia sp. Its description in RNAcentral is "bacterial SSU rRNA". It matches the Rfam family "Bacterial small subunit ribosomal RNA", at positions 260 to 873 of the family's 1533-position model. Lineage: Bacteria; Bacillati; Actinomycetota; Actinomycetes; Mycobacteriales; Nocardiaceae. The record is from RNAcentral.